Molecule: long non-coding RNA, 3396 nt
Organism: Taeniopygia guttata (zebra finch)
Lineage: Eukaryota; Metazoa; Chordata; Aves; Passeriformes; Estrildidae
Source: Ensembl
UCUCCUUCAAUUGGUAAAACAAUUCAUUUUAUUGUGGUUUCUGCAGAGGGUUCUUUAUAUAUUUGAAAAUCGUCUCUGUUCUCACUAGAAACAAUAGAUUUUUUUCAGUCUUGCUUUAUAGGUUGCAUUGUGCAGUUCUCUAGUCUUUAUUGUUUCUUUCUUCUCUGUUAUUUUGCUCUUUUACUAAACUUGCUGUUCAGAGCAGAGCUCAGUGGUUCCUUACUGACCUAAUCAGUAUCAAGCAAAUAAGUAAAUGAAAACAACAACUUCCUGUAAUAACUUAUAUAUGAAUACAUCUGGGAAUGUCAUUAACCAUUUUCAAGGCAGGAUCAUGUUGCUAAUUUAUAUUCAGCUCAUGAUAUACAAGGCCCCCAGGACCUUUGCUGGCAGAGUUGCUGCUUCACCAGUUAUUCCUCAUUUCGUAUUUGUGAGUUUGAUUUCUCCUUGCUAAGUGCAUCACUUUGCACUCAUCUUUAUUGAAUUUCAUCUUAUUGAUUUCAGGUCCUUCAAUUUAUCAUUUUGAAUUCUGAUCCUGUCCUUUGAGGUGCCCACAACCCCUGCUAGCUUGGUAGGAAGCUCAGCUGUUAUAAGCAUACAGUGUAUUUUGUCAUCCAGAUCAUCACUGAAAAUAUUUUAUAGACUCAUAUUUAGAUCUGACCCGACUUGAAAUUCCCUCCUAUACUGACAGUGAGACAUCCAUGCUUUCAGAAGGGGUUUUCAAUUAGUCUUGCAUCCAUUUUAAACCACUAUUUUCUUGACCAUAUUUUCCAAUAUUCCUAUGAAAAUAUUGCUGAGAUGGUCAAGGAAUAAAAUAAAUGGGCCUAUCCAUUUGCAUGUGAAGCAAAGUUUCAGAAAAAAAAACCCAAACUUCCCAAUUUAACUGGAAUAAAAAAAAAAAACAACCUAAAAAAAUUAAAUGUCAGGAAAUAAUCAGAAGUUGUACUCUGUUGCAGCCUGUUGGGAAGAUUGAAAGAAUAAUUAAGCUAUCAGAUAAGCUGAUAAGAGCACUAAAAGUUUAAAGAAGUUGUAGUGAAAUUAAUGCAUUUCUGAGAUUCCAUGCAAAAUCCAGCUUUGUGAAAGGGAUAACAGAAAAUGUCCAGCUUCUUGAUUAAAUGCAAAUUAGAAGAAUCCAGGUAUUAAACUAAGUGAGCUUUAAGAUUUGUAAAUAAAUAUUUUGUGAUUAAAACUAAGAACUUCUGAAAAUAUAUAUAGUCACAUUACAAUGCAUCAGCUUUUAAAGGGGGGUGAAGGGUUAAGCAAAGAUAUGUAAAAGGAAACUCCUUGACAUUUUGUGGAGCCACAGAAAUGGCCAAAAGAAAACCCUCAAACAGAUUCAUAGAAAACAGCCCUGUCAGGGCCUGGUAGGUCACCCAGAGCAUCCCCAGGGCAGGAUCUCCAUCAAAACCUGUUGUGAGAGAUGUGAGUCUGACCUCUUCCCAAAACCCUCCUGUGCUGGGGUCUCUUUGGGAUCUGCCAGCAAUCAACUGCUCUGCUUCACCAACUCGAAUGUUUUAGAGUCUUUCUUGAGGAACAAACCCCUCUUUCCUUUCUGUAACUUCAGUCCUCCACUUUCAAUCCCAGUCCCAGCAGACAAGAAGAGCAAUUUGGGCUGGAUACAGCGGCUGUCAGCACUGUGCCUUUCAGCAGCCUGCUGUCAGGAGGAGUGCUGAGCAUGGAGUGGGGAUAAAACACAUCAUCACAGGGCAGAGAGCUCUGCAGAUUGGUGAAAAACACUGCAGAAUCUCCUAUUCUGGACAGCCUCAGACCCAACAAAUGAAGUAAAUUUGAUGAUUGGGAACAAAAUCUCCUUUAUCCUGGUCAAAAUGAGAGACACUACAGUACAGGGGUGGACAGCUUUUUUUCAUGUGGGACAUUAUGCUGUGGCGAAAUCUCAUUUUUCAAUGUCUUAUCAUUGAUCCUUCCUCCUGUUAGUUCACCAUGGCAACAUUUUGGUCCCAUUACUGAGUAUACAAUUAAGAUUUCAGAUUUCUAAUUUCAGACUGCAGAUGUACUGAUGGAUAUGAAGCACCCACGCCUGAGAUGUAUUAUGUGUGCUACACAGGCAGAUCCUCUGCAGCAGAAAUGUAUGCUUGCUUUUUCACCCAUUACACUGCCAUGAUAAUGUUUUCCUCAAACCAUGCAUCAGCCAGAAGAGAAGUGGAAGGCAGUGAGGCAACAAGAAAGUGGGGCUAGCAGCAGAGAGGCAGCUGGGGCAGGAGGGCAGGUGUGGAUAAGGGUAGGGGUACAUCAGAAUGGUGGACAAGGAUGGGAGAGUGAGGGUGCAGAGCAGAGAUGGAGAAAAUAAAAAAAACCAAAAACCUCAAAAAAGUGGCAGAUGGAGUCUACUAAGGACUCAGCAGGAUGGAAAGGAGAUGAUGUGGGCAAGGUAAGUAUUAGAGAAAAGGUGGCCUGUGAUAAGAGGCAUGAUUAGGGUGGGGGAGAAACAGUUUGGGUGGAGGGAGGCUAUGAGGAAGAGCCUCAGGAGGUAAAGAGGGAUGGCUUGCUCUUCUCAGCUGUAAACAGAAAUUAAAUGUUACCAGCAUCUGAGUAGCCAGAAUCUGCCUAGGCAUCUGCCUUUUCUGCCUCAGAUAAUUGGAGAUUAUUGUGGCAGGCUUCCUCAAAUAUUACUACACUUGUGAAAUAUAACUCUUUACAAUUUAAAAAUGAGCCGCAUAUCUUGAGGGACAAGCAUUAUAUUGAGAGUUUUUAAGAUAUGAGCUUGGCAAUGAGAUUGUUUUCAGAAAAAGCAUUUCCUCUCUGCUUGAAUUCUCCUUUAUCUUAAAAAAAUGAAAGUAAAAUGUAAUAAAAUGUAUCAGAAUGCCUGACACCUAAUCACAUAGCUUCUUAUUUGUAUUCAGCAAAAAUCCUUCUGAGGCAGCAGUUAUUAAGUGAACAGAAUCCCAUAAUGCUUUUUAAAUAUCAGGAGCAGGAGCAGCAAAGCACAAGGGAAGUGAAACUGCUGUCUCAUGGCUCUCUUGUUUUACCAAGCCAGUGCCCAGUGCACAUUGCAUUUUUGUUGUUUGAGUUGAGCCUGCUGAUCCUUGGUGCUCGUGGGGAAGAGAAGCAGGCUCCAGUCAGUUCUAGGGGAAGUCUGGUUUGUCAAUAGUGUGGCCUCUUUCAGACAGCAUUUUGGAAAGCUAUUUAUUUCACUCUCACCAUGGUGGGAUCUCUGAGUAAUAGGGAAGAUAGAAAAAAGACGAUGGAGAGAAAAAAACCCAAAAAAACCCAAAAAAAACCAACCAGAAAGAAAAGAGCAACUGUCUCCCCUUUUUGCUUUUUCAAUUCCAAAACUCAGGUUCCUUUAGUCCAGACAGGAGAGAAACAUAGGGCUUUUGGGGUAAGUGAUGUUCAUGACUUCCUGCCUGACUGCCACUGAGGGGGGUGUAGUCUGAGGUU